CCCUUAGAGUUUGAUCCUGGCUCAGGAUGAACGCUGGCGGCGUGCUUAACACAUGCAAGUCGAGCGAAGCACUUAGGAAAGAUUCUUCGGAUGAUUUCCUUUGUGACUGAGCGGCGGACGGGUGAGUAACGCGUGGGUAACCUGCCUCAUACAGGGGGAUAACAGUUAGAAAUGACUGCUAAUACCGCAUAAGACCACGGUACCGCAUGGUACAGUGGUAAAAACUCCGGUGGUAUGAGAUGGACCCGCGUCUGAUUAGGUAGUUGGUGGGGUAACGGCCUACCAAGCCGACGAUCAGUAGCCGACCUGAGAGGGUGACCGGCCACAUUGGGACUGAGAUACGGCCCAGACUCCUACGGGAGGCAGCAGUGGGGAAUAUUGCACAAUGGAGGAAACUCUGAUGCAGCGACGCCGCGUGAAGGAUGAAGUAUUUCGGUAUGUAAACUUCUAUCAG
This 454-nucleotide ribosomal RNA is filed under the name uncultured bacterium. RNAcentral describes it as "bacterial SSU rRNA". It matches the Rfam family "Bacterial small subunit ribosomal RNA", at positions 1 to 439 of the family's 1533-position model. The record is from RNAcentral.